GGGUUGUGAGGUUAAGCGACUAAGCGUACACGGUGGAUGCCCUGGCAGUCAGAGGCGAUGAAGGGCGUGCUAAUCUGCGAUAAGCGCCGGUAAGGUGAUAUGAACCGUUAUAACCGGCGAUACCCGAAUGGGGAAACCCAGUGUGAUUCGUCACACUAUCAUUAACUGAAUCCAUAGGUUAAUGAGGCGAACCGGGGGAACUGAAACAUCUAAGUACCCCGAGGAAAAGAAAUCAACCGAGAUUCCCCCAGUAGCGGCGAGCGAACGGGGAGGAGCCCAGAGCCUGAAUCAGCAUGUGUGUUAGUGGAAGCGUCUGGAAAGGCGCGCGAUACAGGGUGACAGCCCCGUACACAAAAGCGCAUGUGCUGUGAGCUCGAUGAGUAGGGCGGGACACGUGGUAUCCUGUCUGAAUAUGGGGGGACCAUCCUCCAAGGCUAAAUACUCCUGACUGACCGAUAGUGAACCAGUACCGUGAGGGAAAGGCGAAAAGAACCCCGGCGAGGGGAGUGAAAAAGAACCUGAAACCGUGUACGUACAAGCAGUGGGAGCNNNNNNNNNNNNNNNNNNNNNNNNNNNNNNNNNNNNNNGGGCGUUAAGUUGCAGGGUAUAGACCCGAAACCCGGUGAUCUAGCCAUGGGCAGGUUGAAGGUUGGGUAACACUAACUGGAGGACCGAACCGACUAAUGUUGAAAAAUUAGCGGAUGACCUGUGGCUGGGGGUGAAAGGCCAAUCAAACCGGGAGAUAGCUGGUUCUCCCCGAAAGCUAUUUAGGUAGCGCCUCGUGAAUUCAUCUCCGGGGGUAGAGCACUGUUUCGGCUAGGGGGCCAUCCCGGCUUACCAACCCGAUGCAAACUGCGAAUACCGGAGAAUGUUAUCACGGGAGACACACGGCGGGUGCUAACGUCCGUCGUGAAGAGGGAAACAACCCAGACCGCCAGCUAAGGUCCCAAAGUCAUGGUUAAGUGGGAAACGAUGUGGGAAGGCCCAGACAGCCAGGAUGUUGGCUUAGAAGCAGCCAUCAUUUAAAGAAAGCGUAAUAGCUCACUGGUCGAGUCGGCCUGCGCGGAAGAUGUAACGGGGCUAAACCAUGCACCGAAGCUGCGGCAGCGACACUGUGUGUUGUUGGGUAGGGGAGCGUUCUGUAAGCCUGUGAAGGUGUGUCGUGAGGCAUGCUGGAGGUAUCAGAAGUGCGAAUGCUGACAUAAGUAACGAUAAAGCGGGUGAAAAGCCCGCUCGCCGGAAGACCAAGGGUUCCUGUCCAACGUUAAUCGGGGCAGGGUGAGUCGACCCCUAAGGCGAGGCCGAAAGGCGUAGUCGAUGGGAAACGGGUUAAUAUUCCCGUACUUGGUGUUACUGCGAAGGGGGGACGGAGAAGGCUAUGUUGGCCGGGCGACGGUUGUCCCGGUUUAAGCGUGUAGGUGUGUGUUCCAGGUAAAUCCGGUUCACUUUAACACUGAGGCGUGACGACGAGGCACUACGGUGCUGAAGCAACAAAUGCCCUGCUUCCAGGAAAAGCCUCUAAGCAUCAGGUAACAUCAAAUCGUACCCCAAACCGACACAGGUGGUCAGGUAGAGAAUACCAAGGCGCUUGAGAGAACUCGGGUGAAGGAACUAGGCAAAAUGGUGCCGUAACUUCGGGAGAAGGCACGCUGACACGUAGGUGAAGUGAUUUACUCAUGGAGCUGAAGUCAGUCGAAGAUACCAGCUGGCUGCAACUGUUUAUUAAAAACACAGCACUGUGCAAACACGAAAGUGGACGUAUACGGUGUGACGCCUGCCCGGUGCCGGAAGGUUAAUUGAUGGGGUCAGCGCAAGCGAAGCUCCUGAUCGAAGCCCCGGUAAACGGCGGCCGUAACUAUAACGGUCCUAAGGUAGCGAAAUUCCUUGUCGGGUAAGUUCCGACCUGCACGAAUGGCGUAAUGAUGGCCAGGCUGUCUCCACCCGAGACUCAGUGAAAUUGAACUCGCUGUGAAGAUGCAGUGUACCCGCGGCAAGACGGAAAGACCCCGUGAACCUUUACUAUAGCUUGACACUGAACAUUGAGCCUUGAUGUGUAGGAUAGGUGGGAGGCUUUGAAGUGUGGACGCCAGUCUGCAUGGAGCCGACCUUGAAAUACCACCCUUUAAUGUUUGAUGUUCUAACGUGGACCCGUUACCCGGGUUGCGGACAGUGUCUGGUGGGUAGUUUGACUGGGGCGGUCUCCUCCUAAAGAGUAACGGAGGAGCACGAAGGUUGGCUAAUCCUGGUCGGACAUCAGGAGGUUAGUGCAAUGGCAUAAGCCAGCUUGACUGCGAGCGUGACGGCGCGAGCAGGUGCGAAAGCAGGUCAUAGUGAUCCGGUGGUUCUGAAUGGAAGGGCCAUCGCUCAACGGAUAAAAGGUACUCCGGGGAUAACAGGCUGAUACCGCCCAAGAGUUCAUAUCGACGGCGGUGUUUGGCACCUCGAUGUCGGCUCAUCACAUCCUGGGGCUGAAGUAGGUCCCAAGGGUAUGGCUGUUCGCCAUUUAAAGUGGUACGCGAGCUGGGUUUAGAACGUCGUGAGACAGUUCGGUCCCUAUCUGCCGUGGGCGCUGGAGAACUGAGGGGGGCUGCUCCUAGUACGAGAGGACCGGAGUGGACGCAUCACUGGUGUUCGGGUUGUCAUGCCAAUGGCACUGCCCGGUAGCUAAAUGCGGAAGAGAUAAGUGCUGAAAGCAUCUAAGCACGAAACUUGCCCCGAGAUGAGUUCUCCCUGAGACUUAAAGUCUCCUGAAGGAACGUUGAAGACGACGACGUUGAUAGGCCGGGUGUGUAAGCGCAGCGAUGCGUUGAGCUAACCGGUACUAAUGAACCGUGAGGCUUAACCUUACAACGCCGAAG
This 2858-nucleotide ribosomal RNA is filed under the name Salmonella enterica subsp. enterica serovar Enteritidis. Its description in RNAcentral is "bacterial LSU rRNA". It matches the Rfam family "Bacterial large subunit ribosomal RNA". The record is from RNAcentral. Lineage: Bacteria; Pseudomonadati; Pseudomonadota; Gammaproteobacteria; Enterobacterales; Enterobacteriaceae.